This is a non-coding RNA of Paramuricea clavata, 224 nucleotides long. Lineage: Eukaryota; Metazoa; Cnidaria; Anthozoa; Malacalcyonacea; Plexauridae. The record is from the annotation of a GenBank genome assembly.
GUUUUAGAGAUUCCCCAUUUUAGCAUUCCGGGUUUUAGAGAUUCCGGCUUUUAGUAUUCCGGGUUUUAGAGAUUCCCCAUUUUAGUAUUCCGGGUUUUAGAGAUUCCCCAUUUUAGUAUUUCGGGUUUUAGAGAUUCCGGCUUUUAGUAUUCCGGGUUUUAGAGAUUCCCCAUUUUAGUAUUCCGGGUUUUAGAAAUUCCCCAUUUUAGUAUUCCGGGUUUUAG